RNAcentral lists this ribosomal RNA (742 nucleotides) under Escherichia coli. RNAcentral describes it as "partial 23S ribosomal RNA". It matches the Rfam family "Bacterial large subunit ribosomal RNA", at positions 528 to 1268 of the family's 2925-position model. The record is from RNAcentral. Lineage: Bacteria; Pseudomonadati; Pseudomonadota; Gammaproteobacteria; Enterobacterales; Enterobacteriaceae.
GGCGAGGGGAGUGAAAAAGAACCUGAAACCGUGUACGUACAAGCAGUGGGAGCACAGAGCAAUCUGUGUGACUGCGUACCUUUUGUAUAAUGGGUCAGCGACUUAUAUUCUGUAGCAAGGUUAACCGAAUAGGGGAGCCGAAGGGAAACCGAGUCUUAACUGGGCGUUAAGUUGCAGGGUAUAGACCCGAAACCCGGUGAUCUAGCCAUGGGCAGGUUGAAGGUUGGGUAACACUAACUGGAGGACCGAACCGACUAAUGUUGAAAAAUUAGCGGAUGACUUGUGGCUGGGGGUGAAAGGCCAAUCAAACCGGGAGAUAGCUGGUUCUCCCCGAAAGCUAUUUAGGUAGCGCCUCGUGAAUUCAUCUCCGGGGGUAGAGCACUGUUUCGGCAAGGGGGUCAUCCCGACUUACCAACCCGAUGCAAACUGCGAAUACCGGAGAAUGUUAUCACGGGAGACACACGGCGGGUGCUAACGUCCGUCGUGAAGAGGGAAACAACCCAGACCGCCAGCUAAGGUCCCAAAGUCAUGGUUAAGUGGGAAACGAUGUGGGAAGGCCCAGACAGCCAGGAUGUUGGCUUAGAAGCAGCCAUCAUUUAAAGAAAGCGUAAUAGCUCACUGGUCGAGUCGGCCUGCGCGGAAGAUGUAACGGGGCUAAACCAUGCACCGAAGCUGCGGCAGCGACACUGUGUGUUGUUGGGUAGGGGAGCGUUCUGUAAGCCUGUGAAGGUGUGCUGUGAGG